Molecule: transfer RNA, 77 nt
Filed under: Elusimicrobiota bacterium
Lineage: Bacteria; Pseudomonadati; Elusimicrobiota
Also listed under: 1 other name
Description: tRNA-Arg
Rfam family: tRNA
About the family: Transfer RNA (tRNA) molecules are approximately 80 nucleotides in length. Their secondary structure includes four short double-helical elements and three loops (D, anti-codon, and T loops).
Source: RNAcentral
GCCCUCGUAGCUCAGUUGGAUAGAGCAGCGGUUUCCUAAACCGUUUGUCGGGAGUUCGAAUCCCCCCGGGGGCGCCA